Molecule: long non-coding RNA, 2349 nt
Filed under: Mytilus galloprovincialis (Mediterranean mussel)
Lineage: Eukaryota; Metazoa; Mollusca; Bivalvia; Mytilida; Mytilidae
Source: RNAcentral
AGAGUCUACGAACCAAUUAAGUCUACAUGUAAGAAUUAUUUAAGAUCAUUUAAACAAUAUCAAUUAUCAGAGAUCCAUUUCAUAAAGCUCUUAUUAACAUUGUACAGUUAUAAAAAUUCGGAAAAAGAAAACGACUGUCAGACACAAAACGUCAAAACCACAUGUUUGGAUAAGGAUAUUAUCAACUUUGAUUAAGAGUUGGGAAUUUUUUAUGAAAUUACUUUUUGCCAUUUAUUAAAGCUAAUUUUGUGCAUAGAAUCUACAAAAGCUCAAUAUACAAAGUGUCAAAUUUAAUCCACCUAUCUUGAUACGUUACUGUGAAAAGAUUAAACAUAUGUCUUGUCAUUGAUUAAGCUUUCUACGUUCUUUAACGUCAAUCUAGUAGUGAGUUUAUUUACGGGAACGGCAAAUACUUCCCUUCACCCAGAGCACUUCGAUCCAGAAGAAAUGUCGUAUUUGUCGUAUUAGUAUAGAAAUAAUUCAUGGGGGCUUGAAAUUAUACUGAUAUUGCCACGGGUUUGCCCUCUUUGCCGAUAUGUUCCCCUUACUAUCGCUCAUGGUAAAAUAUUUAGCAUAAUGGGCCUACCCGUGGUAACAUCGGUAAAAAUGCAAGUCCCUAUGAUUUUUGUCUAUCGCUCUUGAUAAAUUGUAUAUUAUAUGUCAUUGAAUAAGCCUGACGCAUGAAUGUAUUUUUUGAAUAACGCAAAAUAUGUGCUCAAUGACAUUUGCUAUCUAAUAAAAAGUAACUGCAAAAACUCUUAUAAUAAUUCAAACAACUGUGUUAACUUUGUUGUUAUUAUGGACGCCAUCUUGUUUACAUUUGUAACGAAAGAAGUUCGGUCAACAUCGUCUAUCGACAAAUAACCAAUGCAAGAUCAAAUACCGGAAGUCCUCUCUACCAAUCAUAUCAAUGUAUUCCGUAAUAUGCAAAUCCUAUAAUAAUUAUUGUAUGAUAUCAUUCUAGGUACCAGAUUUUUUGGAAAAAGCUUGUAAGCUUAUUAUAACUGGAACUGGAGGCUUGUCUUUCAAGGAAGAGACAUAUAUAUCAUACCGUGCUAGAACUGUAUCUUUGUUUAUCCAAACUGAUAAGGGAAUAUACAAAGCAGGACAAACAAGUACGUACAUACAGUGGUAAUUCAUUUCAUUAUGGGACCCAGUACCUAAAGGUUUGGUUUCGAUUGAAGGAUAAGAAACAUUUUAGGGUUAUAGUUAAGAUUAUAGUUAAAUUUUAGGUCUAGGGCUAGUGGAAAAGUCAAGUGUAGAUUCGUUUUAUCUUGGGACGCUUGUAGACCAUUUGAUCUAAAUAUCUCUAAAACGACUGAACAAUACAUUAAUUAGUCAUUUUCUUUAUCCUGUAAUUGACCAAUUAUUGUAAAAAUACGUGUUACAAAUGUAUACUGAUAAAUAUUUGCUAAACUACACAAAGUUAAUUAUAAUAACUGAUAACUUGACAGUUGAUAAGUCGUUUCAGAUUCUUACGCAUUCUGGGUAAUAUUUUUAAAAGCGUACACCGAAACGUUGUGAUUAGUCAUGGUUUAAAACAUUCUAUCAAUAAACAUUUAACCCAUGACGAAUCGUUAUUUUCAUUUUGGUGUACAAACAAUGAGACUAUCCAUAGUUCUUUAGGUUCUGAACGGUCGAAUUGCCGAAUUCUCAUCAGAAGGUAUUCAGCAAUGACGAUGUCUAUAACAAACUUUAGACCAAAAAUAGAUAAACACAUUAUGCGUCAUUUUGGGAAAAUAUCAGUUACAUUAAUACUCUCUUGCAAAUCCAGUUUUUGUCUUAGAACAUAAGUCCUAUUCUGAUAAACAAAAAUCAGACAAUUAUGGUAUACUGUUUAAAUUAUAUUGUUGAAAUAAAGGCAAAGUAGUUGACCACUGUUCAAUAAUCAUAAGUCGAAUAAGCGGAAUAAAUGCAGGUCAUAAACAAAAAUAAGGGAAACGUAUUUAAUAUAUGAGAAAAACAACAGUACAACAAAAUAACUGAUCUGCUACAAAAAGUUAUCAAAGCUACCAGGAUUAUUAUUUAGACGUGCGUUUCGUCUACAUAAGACUCAUCAGUGACGCUCAUAUCAAAUUAGGUAUAAAGCCAAUUAAGUACAAAGCUUUGAAAACAAAAACAAAAACCAACGCCACAUACAUAGAAACGGACUAUUUUAUAUCAACUUCCAUAUUUCUGACUUGGUACAGGAUAUUUUAAGAAGAAACAAUGGUGGGUUGAUUUACUAGUGGGUUUAGCGAUCAAAUGUUACGUGUAUAAUUCUUUAUUUUAUUUCAGUUAACUUUCGAGUAUUUGCCUUAUACACCGAUCUCAAGGUGUAUUAUGGUCCUUUUAAUAUCUCUAUGCAUG